Molecule: ribosomal RNA, 1387 nt
Filed under: Leptobrachium ingeri
Lineage: Eukaryota; Metazoa; Chordata; Amphibia; Anura; Megophryidae
Description: partial 16S rRNA
Rfam family: Bacterial large subunit ribosomal RNA
Source: RNAcentral
AUGUUUUCUAUCUAGCCUACCAACUUUUACCACCCACUAACCACCCACCUCUAACCAAUAAAUCAUUUAUUUUUCUUAGUAUAUGAGAUAAAAAAGUAAAUCAGAGCUAUAAAUUAGUACCGUAAGGGAAAGAUGAAAUAAAUGAAAUAUUUAAAAACACUAAAUAGCAGAGACCUCAACUCGUACCUUUUGCAUCAUGGCCUAACAAGUCCAAUCAGGCAAGACGAAUUUUAGUCUGACCCCCCGAAACUAAGUGAGCUACUCCGGGGCUACCAAUGUAAUCCCGUCUCUGUCGCAAAAGAGUGGGAAGACCCCCGAGUAGAGGCGAAAAACCUACCGAACCUAGUAAUAGCUGGUUGCUUAGGAAAAGGAUUUUAGUUCUUUCUUAAAAACGCCCUAACACCUCAUCCAAGUAGAUCUGAUUUUUAAGAAUUAUUCAAUAAAGGUACAGCUUUAUUGAAGAAGGAAACAGCCUAAACCUUAGGAUAAUGAUUAUAAUACCCAAGGAAAUUAAGACUAAGUAGGCCUAAAAGCAGCCACCUUAAAUAGCGUCAAAGCUUCACCUCAAUUCCUCUCCCUUAAUCCCAUUAAAAUAUCAAAAUCCAAUAUCACUACUAAGCUAUUCUAUAAUUGUAUAGAAGAAUUUAUGUUAGGACUAGUAACAAAGAACAACUUCUCUUAUAUAUAAGUUUAAAUCAGCUCGAAUACCUCCCUGAUAAUUAAUCAACCCUGAAUUCAUAGUAGUAACUUUUUCCCCCCCCCAAAACCCUACUUUAAUUACUGUUAAUCAGACAUAUGAAUAUAAAAGAAAGAUGAAAGAAUUAAGAAGGAACUCGGCAAACACAAAUCCCGCCUGUUUACCAAAAACAUCGCCUUUUGAAUAAUAUAAAAGGUAACGCCUGCCCAGUGACUCUAUGUUCAACGGCCGCGGUAUCCUGACCGCGCGAAGGUAGCGUAAUCAUUUGUCUUUUAAAUGGAGACUUGUAUGAAAGGCUUUACGAGGAUUUAACUGUCUCCUUAAUUUAAUCAGUGAAAUUGAUCUUCCCGUAAAAAAGCGGGAAUAAAACCAUAAGACGAGAAGACCCUAUGGAGCUUAAAACCUAAAACUACUUGUAUAACCUGUCUAUUAAGAAUCACCAAUAAACAAACCUAGUCUAAGUUUUCUGUUGGGGUGACUGUGGAGAAAAACUAAUCCUCCAUGAAGAACAAACUUAGAGCUACCGCUCUAAGUAUUAGUAAACCUAACUUUAAUUGAUCCAAUCUUUGAUCAACGGACCAAGUUACCCUAGGGAUAACAGCGCUAUCCAUUUCAAGAGUUCCUAUCGACAAAUGGGUUUACGACCUCGAUGUUGGAUUAGGACAUCCUAGUGGUGAAGCCGCUACUAAU